RNAcentral lists this ribosomal RNA (283 nucleotides) under uncultured prokaryote. Its description in RNAcentral is "partial 16S ribosomal RNA". It matches the Rfam family "Bacterial small subunit ribosomal RNA", at positions 524 to 817 of the family's 1533-position model. The record is from RNAcentral.
UACGUAGGGGGCUAGCGUUAUCCGGAAUUACUGGGCGUAAAGGGUGCGUAGGUGGUUUCUUAAGUCAGAGGUGAAAGGCUACGGCUCAACCGUAGUAAGCCUUUGAAACUGGGAAACUUGAGUGCAGGAGAGGAGAGUGGAAUUCCUAGUGUAGCGGCGAAAUGCGUAGAGAUUAGGAAGAACACCAGUGGCGAAGGCGAUUCUCUGGACUGUAACUGACGCUGAGGCUCGAAAGCGUGGGGAGCAAACAGGAUUAGAUACCCCGGUAGUCCCUGAGCGGGCU